GAUGAACGCUGGCGGCGUGCCUAAUACAUGCAAGUCGAGCGAACAGACGAGGAGCUUGCUCCUCUGACGUUAGCGGCGGACGGGUGAGUAACACGUGGAUAACCUACCUAUAAGACUGGGAUAACUUCGGGAAACCGGAGCUAAUACCGGAUAAUAUAUUGAACCGCAUGGUUCAAUAGUGAAAGACGGUUUUGCUGUCACUUAUAGAUGGAUCCGCGCCGCAUUAGCUAGUUGGUAAGGUAACGGCUUACCAAGGCAACGAUGCGUAGCCGACCUGAGAGGGUGAUCGGCCACACUGGAACUGAGACACGGUCCAGACUCCUACGGGAGGCAGCAGUAGGGAAUCUUCCGCAAUGGGCGAAAGCCUGACGGGCAACGCCGCGUGAGUGAUGAAGGUCUUCGGAUCGUAAAACUCUGUUAUUAGGGAAGAACAAAUGUGUAAGUAACUAUGCACGUCUUGACGGUACCUAAUCAGAAAGCCACGGCUAACUACGU
This 495-nucleotide ribosomal RNA is filed under the name uncultured bacterium. RNAcentral's name for it is "partial 16S ribosomal RNA". It matches the Rfam family "Bacterial small subunit ribosomal RNA", at positions 28 to 506 of the family's 1533-position model. The record is from RNAcentral.